GUGAAUGAAGAAGGCACAGAAGCUGCAGCUGCUUCUGCCGGCGUUAUAAGUGAGAGGAGGAUGCCCAUGACAUUUGUGGCUGAUCGUCCAUUCCUCUUCACGAUCAGGGAAGAAACGACCGGAACAGUUCUGUUCAUCGGUAACCUGCUCAACCCUCUUGCCGGCUGAGUGUUACAACCCCCUGGGAAAGGGCAUCAGAUGUACGUAGAAUAAUACGCGCGAGACUGUAGUAAAUAAAAUGUAUGAUCCUUGUAUACAUGUACUAUGUUUGGUUAUUACCUAAUCACCCUGUACUUGCAGCAGUUGGUCUUGUUUCUCCCAUGUGGCGAUUUUUGUUUGUUCUCCCAUGGCGUUUAUCCAUGUGUAGAAUCUUGAUUCUGAAUACUUAUUUUAUGAUGUACUCUGUUUGAACAAUAAAAGUUUUAGCCGACUGCAAACGUCGGUUAGUGUUAAAGUAUUUAAUAUAUAGAAUGGACGAGUGCUAGUGUUGUACCAUACACAUGGUUGGUGAUGAAAAAGAUUAAACUUUGAAUAUUCUAUAAAAUAUUAUUUAACUUGGGACGAGGAUCUUCUUUGUGAGGAUCUUAUGAAUUAAUUUAUCUUAACGGUUCAUUGUACAUCGUGUGACCAUCUUUCAUUAGAUACUUUUUGUGUUAAAUUUUAAAUAAAUUCAAAAUAAUUUUUGGCUGCAGGAUGAUUGAUAAACAGAUAUGAUGCAUUGAUUCCUAAAGUCCUCACAAAGAGAAUCCGGAUGUUUAUAGUCCUCCAUGACUGGAGAUGGCCUAAGAUGCUAAACACUUAACACUACCCAAUUUUUCCAGUUAGUUAAAUUUUCACAAUUAGUGUAUUAAAUUGCUUAAGAAAUGUUAUCAGCACUCUAAAAUAAUUGACCAUAUUUUCUUGACUCUUUUGUUAAAUUGCAUGAAGAUUUUUUUGGAUAGUCAAUAAUAUCUCCCAAUUGCUUAACAUAGAAUUAAAUAGAGUAUCGCUAACUAGAGCAUGAUAUGUUUCUGUGUCUUUGAUGCCCUUUGCUCGAGAAAAUUUAGUAUAGGGUUUUCAUCACAAAUGGUCCCUGACAUUGAUCAAACACAUCAUUUUGGUCCCUGACAUUGAAAAUCAAUAGAAAUGGUCCCUGACAUUGAUCAAACACAUCAUUUUGGUCCCUGACAUUGAAAAUCAAUAGAAAUGGUCCCUGACAUUGAUCAAACACAUCACAAAUAGUCCUUCCGUUAAAAACGUUUUGGGCAAUUUUCAAAGCUUUGUAACUCAAUCGUUUCUUAACCAAAUUCGACCCAUAAUAUAUCAAAAUGAAGAUAGGAAAGUGUAGAACAAGAUUAUACCUAUUUGGAAACCCAAUGGUUGCCGGAGAUGGCCGGAAAACAGCCUCAAAUGUGACUGGUCCGCGAAAAAACUGGAAAACUCGCCUGAAAUGGGGUAAACUUUAAACAUUCAUAACUUCUUCAAUAAUCAACGAAAUCGAGUGAUUCAAAAAUGAAAAUCAUACUUCUCGACGAGACUAAGAGAAUGGUAGCUUUCUUGAUGGCUAACUCAUUGUAGUUUGGCCGGAAAAUGACUCGAAAUUGGCUAACUCGAAAAUGGUUAUCCAAGUUCGAGCCAUUUUCCGGUCAAACCACGGUAAAUUAGUAGUCAAUAAAGAUACCAUUAUCUUUCUCUCAUUGAGAAGUAUGAUUUUCAUUUUUGAAUCACUCAAUUUCAUUGAGUAUUGAAGAAGUUAUGAAUGUUUAAAGUUUACCCCAUUUCAGGCGAGUUUUUCAGUUUUUUCGCGGACCAGUCACAUUUGAGGCUGUUUUCCGGCCAUCUCCGGCAACCAUUGGGUUUCUAAAUAGGUAUAAUCUUGUUCUACACUUUCCUAUCUUCAUUUUGAUAUAUCAUGGGUCGAAUUUGGUUAAGAAACGAUUGAGUUACGAAGCUUUGAAAAUUGCCCAAAACGUUUUUAACGGAAGGACCAUUUGUGAUGUGUUUGAUCAAUGUCAGGGACCAUUUCUAUUGAUUUUCAAUGUCAGGGACCAAAAUGAUGUGUUUGAUCAAUGUCAGGGAUCAUUUGUGAUGAAAACCCUUUAGUAUAUGAACGACAAACUACGUGUUAUUACGGCCACAGACGAUAAUCCAGACUAUUUGUUUAAUACUUAAGCUUACUUGUGGUCCCAUUAUGUAAAAAAAUUUUGCAUUAGUCUGCACACAAGAAAUUUUUUAUUGGUUUCAGUUGAGCUCAAAUAAUAAUAAUCUGUUCGUGUAAAAGUUAAAAUUUAUCUUAUUAUGUAAUUGAUUUAAAAUACCGUAAAUACUGAUUUAAAAUUAUCUCAUUGUCAGCUUGUGUGUCAUUCUCGUAGAAUUUGGAAUUAUUCACAUUGUUUAGUAACGUAGGAUAUUUCAAGAAGCAUUUUUGCUCACUAUCAUUUAGUGUAAUGUAUAUUCAUCAUUCUAUUUAUCAUCGUUAGAUGAGUUUGAAUUUUAAGAUCCGUGUAGUGGAUAGACACAAAUUUCAAAAUUCAAUCUCAUCUAACGAUAAUAAAUAUGAUGAUGAACAUAAAUCAAAUAAAUGAUGAUGAAAAAAAAUACAUAGAUAUUUCAGUACAUGAAAACGUCACGUUAAUGAAAGGAGCUGGAGCGCCUGCUGCUGACCUCGGUCAAACAGACGGUGUGGGUUUCACGUGGCUGGCGCGAAAUCUAAACCGUUAAUUUAAUGUUAGUUAUCUCUCCCCUUGUCACGACUCCCAUGUAAUGCUGUAAAGUCACAAGCACCCAUCGUUUGGUUCUAAUAUUACAACAGUACCGCCCAUGGAAACACAAUCUUAAGCAAUCUCUAAUACUCAUAAUGUUGUUGAAGUUUUGCACUAAUAAUAGUUGCUAAACAGUGAUUAGACAGUCAGAUAAGAGACAGGGUUUAUGAUGUGAUUUGGACGUCCCAUCCUUUGCCACUUAAAAUGUCUUACCUACCAAACAUAUCUUGAAAAAUAAUUUAGCUUGGUACGAAGAAUCACAAUUUUUGUUUAUAAUUGACGAAAUCAAUCAAUGCAUGUUUUUUAUCAAAUCAAUAUUUAUUGGGAUAUUCAUCCUUAAAAUCUUCAUUUUGUUAUAAAACAACAAUAUAUUUAUUAUUUUUAAAAUUUUGUAAUACGUUUAUUUAAGUAGUGACUUUGAACGUUUUAAAAUUGAAAAAUCAAUAUUUAAAUGCAAAGUUGUCCGUUUUGAAUAAUCUCUAACAAUAUUUUCCUUCUCGUAAAUGAGUAAGAUUGGUUUAUUUUGUACACAAUUAGAUAUUGAGAGUUGAAAUUCUAAAUACUAAGUUCUUCUUAACAUAUUUUCGUAACCAUUUAAGAUGUUUGUAUAUUCGAAGAAUAUGGAAAAAUUGAAUCAACCCAGAUUAUUAUUAUGGCUGUCGACAUCUUUUAUCAGAGGAUAGCCAUCAAGUCACACCGCAUAUCCAGAAAGAGAAAUCCAUCCAAAAAAUAGGAAAACGAAAUGACAUUCCUUAUUUUCCUCCAUGGACGUCCCUUCUCUCCCCACCACGAAGGUCCCAGCUGAAAAGAAACGGAUGGCACAAUCGUGAUUAUCACAAACAGGAAUGUCAAAUUGUAGCAAGAGCAUGGUCAGCGCCGUUACAAAUAAGUGGAAGUUCCUCGGAAGAGUAAGAGAACGCGACAAUCAUAACGUAAUCUAUCUCUUCACUUUCUCAAUCCUUUUCUAUCUUUUUUUUCUUUCUGGGUUCCUUGUACUUCUCAUAAAUAUUAAGAGUUUAAUUCAAAAGAAAGGAACUUUCUCUUUCAUUGCUUACAUUUUUUUUUUCAGAUUAUUUACUUUCCCUUCCUUGCAGUUGCUUGGAAGAAACCAAGCUCAGAAGACCUUUGUUUUUUGAGAAUUCAGUUCAAUCCGUUUAUAUAUAUAUAUAUAUAUGGUGUUGAUGAUUUACCAGAAGUGAUAGUGCUUCAACCGAGAAGAAGAAGCUUUUAGUCUUCAGAAAUUCAGAGAAAAGAUAAGGAAGUGGAAGAGUGAAGGAAAAGCAAAUCAAAAGAUGGGAGAAACUGCUCCUCAUCCUCCACCACAGGUGGUUGCUCGGCCGUCUCAGAUGCCUCUUGGGGCAGCGAAGGGUCCCCAUUUGGACUCCAACUGAGCAGCUCCACAACCUUCAGUAUUGCAUCCACUCCAACCCCUCUUAGCGUUAGUCUCUCUCUGUUUCUGUUAAUUUCUUCGUUCUGGGUUUUAUAUUUUUUGAGUAAAAAGCUGAUUAAAGUUGUGCUAUUUUAAUGGGUUGGUUUAAAAGUUGAAGCUUUUGGCACUACUUCUUAUUUAGUUUACUAGUUUGCUUUUUAUUCCUAAUUUUGCAAAUUACUUUUACUAUUUUUGUUUCGGAUUCUCUAAUUUAUUGUGUUCGAAUCUUUUUAAGUACUGUAAUUAGUUCUAAUAAAAUAAUAAGCAUAUGUUCCAUUACCAGUUUCAACUUAUCCUGCUUACAAGACAUCGAUAUCACUCGAAAAUGUUUAGGAAGUGUAAACGUAAAUUUCCCAUGUUUAUCAAAUGCAACAAACUGCUUCUAAUGGAUCGAAUUUUACAGCGGAAACAUUCGUACUCGCUUUUCAGCACUAUAUUGUGAUGCUCGGAUCCAUAGUUAUAAUUGCCACUAGUUUCGUGCCUCGGAUGGGUGGGGAUCAUGUAAGUUAUGUCCUCUAUACAGUAAAGUUUAUAAUAUGCCGGUUAAGAUUAGCGAUCACACACGUAGCUUUGAAUCCGUGAUGUUAAUGUUUGGGUUUUGUUCUCCCUUUGUGAUCAGGGUGACAAGGCACGCGUGAUUCAGACGAUGCUGUUUAUGGCAGCAAUAAACACUUUGAUCCAAACAUUCACGGGACAAGGCUUCCAACAGUGAUGACUUCGUCAUUCGCUUUUACCCUUCCGGUGAUGUCAAUCAUCAAUGAUUAUUCUGAUCGGAAUUUUAGAAGUGAACAUGAGGUAUGUAAAGUUUGAAACAUGUUAUUCAUAGAGGAUUUAACAUCACAUUAAUUUACUUCUUAAAUUGCUUUAAGAAAUUUCAGUUAUAGACUUUGAGAUGAAAAAUACGUGGUGCAAAAAACGUGUAAACCUUACAUACCUGUAGAAGACGUCAUGAUGAAUUUCUGGUUUUGAGGACGGAAUAGAUUGAAGCACGUCCAUGCACUGUUGCGUCAUAUGCAACAAACUGAUGGGGAGUUCUAGGGUUGUGGCAUUAGCAAUGUGACAGGGACCUCAAACUUACAUAGGCCUCACGUCCCUAGAACCCUACCCACUAAUGGAGACUAGAAACUCUUAUGAUCCUCUAACGAGAAUAAUAAAGCCAAUGGAAAUGUUAGCACACAAUUGUUGUACAUAUAACAGACUUCGAGCAAUUUUUGGAACACGUAAAACAUUGUUAAGAAUAAGAUCAUGAGUAUUGGUUUUAAUGGUUGUUGCAUCAAUAUUCUUAAUGGAUAAACCUGUUCCAUUUCCAACUGUGAUUUUAUCAAAACCUUGGAAUGGUGUAACUUGAUUCAAUGUGGUGGCAUCAGCAGUGAUAUGAUGAGAUGCACCAGUAUCAACAAUCCAUGCAUCAUGAGGAAUAUAUUGUUCUAUCUGCUGUGUUGCCAUAGCUGUUAAGUUUGCAGGUGGUUGUUGGCCUUGAAAAACAUAAUUCCCUUUGUGAUAACAUUCAAGAGCUGAGUGACCUUUUUUUCCCACAAAUCUGACACUCCAUUUGAAAUCUAGUAUUUGGUGUAGUAGCAUUUCUGUGAAAACAAUUGACUGCAGUAUGCCCUUUCUUGUUGCAGAUUUGGCACUCAAUCACUGUUGUUGACCUGCUCUCUGUGUUUCCAUUCCACACAUUUGAACCAUUUGACCUUGAAUUGCCAUACGAAAAAUCAGAAGAGUUUCCUAUGUUGUAACCCUUGCUUUUGAAUCCACCAUUUGUCUUGUAAUUAUUGUUACCCUUGUAGUUUGAACCACCAAAAGGUUUCUGCAUGAAAUGAGGUAUUGGACCAGAAUUUGAUGCAUUAGCCAUAAACCCAAAACCAUAGGGAACUUGAGGAUAAACUGGACCAGGAAAUUGCGGAGACAUAGGAGGUUGAGGCAUAUGAGGUUGCUGUGGAUAUUGUUGUGGCAAGACAAAUGGCUGUGGUUAUUGUGGCUGUGGAUAUUGUUGUGGAUAUUGCUGUGGUAAAACAAAUGGCUCAGCAGAAUAUGGAUAUGGAUUAGGAGUUAUAACACCACCAGUGGUUGCAGGUAAAUGACUAUGCCCUGCAGGAUUAGACCCUGAAGCAAAUGAAUUUCCCUGAGUUGACUAAGAACCCUAAACAUAUAAGGCAGAUAGACUUUGAGACCCAACACUUGUGUCUCAUUCAAUCUCUUUUUCAGCUCUAAAUUUUUUCAAGGAAAUGGAUGAUUCUUUGCCAUAUAUCACAGUUCGAAUAGUUGCAUACUCCUUCGGCAAACCAGCUAAACCAGCAAUUAUAACAUCAUUAUCAGAAAUGAACUCUCCAGUAGCAGUUAAUUGUUCUCUUAUACUCUUCAAUCUUAACAGAUAUUUAUCCAUCAAAUCUCCUCAUUUUUGAAUGGUGUACAACUCAAUUUUUAAAUGAUUUACCCUAGUUUUAGACACUGAAGCAAAUCUAUCCACAAGAUUCGACCAAGCCUCACAAGCAGUUAAACAUCCAAGAACAUAUUUAAUAGCCUCAUCAAACAAAGUAGCUAGUAAAAGACUUAGUAAUGGAUAUGUGGAUUCCCAUUCAACAUAUUCAGCAAGUUCAGAAGUAACUCCUCUCUUAGUAUCUAUUACAAAUUUUUGUGGACAACCAAUAGUGCCAUCAAAAUGCCCAAACAAUUUAUGACCUUUCAACACAUAUUUGAACUGAAAAGCCCAUUUCACAAAAUUAUCAUCCUUCAACUUUAUUGUGAUCAUUCCCAGUUUCAACUUUAACACUUGAAGUAGUCAUGAUUUCUUGAUCGAACACAUAGAAUUUGCAAAUAACAAACAAACACCCAAAAAUUUCUGAUAUACGUAUUGAAAGGAAAGACUGAAACUUUCUCACAACCCAAGCAAGACUGAAACUCGCUUAAUACUCAGGAAAAACUGAAACUUUCUUGAUGAAUCUUGCACACAAAUACAACACACAAUUCCAAUUCGGAAAAGAAAACACAAAAUCUUCUAAUCAGGACUGAAACCCAAUUACUCAACAGAAAUUCACACUAUCACUUGAAUUGCAGCUGUGAUUGCAGCCACAAAUAGCCAGAAUACCAACCGCCAGAAAGAACAACAAGGAUCUGCAAUCGCCAGAACUUUUGAACAAACCCGUUGAAAAGACCUUUCAGAAUCCUUGAACUGGAUAGCAGCGAAAGAACUAGGAUCGAAAACGGUAGUGAACCAUGGUCAGCGAUGAUACCAUAUUAACAGUGUUGAAUUGUGGCCAAGUGGCCAUCACCUUUCGGCUAAUAAACAAACAAAGAAAAGAAAAAGAAAGACAAAAUGAUGAGGAAACAUCAUGAUGAGGAGGCAUCAUGAUUAUGCUUUCUUGUAGUUUUUUAAUAACCAUAAUUAUUGUUUUUGUUUCGGGUAGAAGAGAAGAAAGGGAGAGCUCAUUUUUUAGAAGAAAGCAUAUUAAAGAGAGAAGAGGAGAGAGAGAAGGUAGAGCCUUUUGGUUAUAAAAGGCAUUCGAUUAUGCCUUUGGAUGUGGGAGGGGGGGGAGCGGCAGAUGAGAGAGCACAGGGAGAGCAUUCGGCUCUCCCAUUUGAAUAUGAGCUGCUCCUUCCCACCAUUUGUAAUAAUCCCAUUUUGUUAGUAAUCACUCAAUCAAAGAUGUUGGUGCUACUUGUGUAGCUUUUGGGAGAGAAGGAUUUUGAUAUGUGUUUCUUCUUCUCCAUUUGUUUCUUAGUUUGAGUGAGAGCUAUUGGGUGUAUGUGGGAUUUGGGUUUGAGUGUUGAACUCUAUUUGUAAUCUCCUUUUGAUAUUAAUGGAAUUUCCUCGCCGUCUCGGAACUGGAUGUAGGCUUACGCCAAACCAGUAUAAAAAUCCUUGUGUCUUUUGGAUUAUUUGUCUUGUCAUAUUUUGCCGUUAUUAGCUUUGAUUUCAUAUUUGAAGCUUCCGCACAACAAGUGGUAUCAAAGCUCCGGGUUUCGACUUGGAGGCUUUGUACUAGUAUGUCUAUGAAAUCUUCAAAUGACGGUGAAAUAUGUUUUUUGGAAAAAUUCGACUGGAGGAAUGACUUUGGCAUUUGGUCAAUUGGAGAUGCAGAGUUUGGCUGCAAAAUGCGUGGCGUUGAAGAAGGAUAGUAAGGGACUAUGCUGCAGUCAUUGAGCUUGCAGAUUGGAGAAUGGUUUCGGAAACAGCGUGUCUGCUGCAAUGUUGCCGUCGAUGUUGUUGAAGUGUUGGUGUUCGACAGCUGCAGAUGUAGUGUACUGCUUUUGGUGGGUUCUCUGUUGGUCAUCGCUGCACCGGAGGUGUUUGUGGGCUGUUGUCGACGAGUUGAGUGGGAAGGAGAAAAGGUAGAAGCAGUUGAAAAUUGAAAAGAAAAUGUUGGUUCUUUUUCUUUCGGCAUUUGUUUUGGCAGAAGGACAUCAUGAUGACAAAUGAUGUUGUUGGCUGGAAGAAAAGGGAAAAAGGCUAAGGCUAAGUUUUCUUUUCUUUGGCAUUUUUUCAACGGCAGAAAAUUUUUGGUUCUUUUUUCACUCCCAUUAGUUGCCUUUGGAGCAAGUUGAUGGAAACAUUGGAGGAGUUUGUGAGGGCCAAUUUGUUGAGUUCUGCAAGUUUGGAUAGUGAGGCACCACACUAUUUUGGAUACACCACAUGCACUGCAGAACAUUUGUGUGGAACCCUCUUGUAGAAGGCAAGUUAUAUGCUUUCUAACUUUGUUUGGUCUAUGGACAUUUAGUUGGAUUUGUUUGCCACUGCUAUUUGGUUUGUUGGUCUCCAUCAUCUGCAAUUAGUUUUCUUGAAGACUCCAGUUGAGGUAUGGUUUUGGAUCUCCUGCUGAUUAUUUGAAUUUGAAAUUUUUGGUUGUCCUGUUGGUGCUCAUGUGAUGAUGGUAAACUUGAGUGGAGGGCAUAGUUUUUUUGUAUGUGGUAUGUUAGACCUUGUUGCCAAAUUUGUAAUCAGUUUUGACUUGGAGAAUAUGCCGUGCUAUUUGAAUGAGUCUAUUGAUGCAGUUUAAGACCAUGGUGUUUGUAAGCAGGUGGAGUUCGUUCUGUGUCCAACUUUGGUAUGGUGUGCUUGAUCUUUUGUUAGUGAUAUUGAAGAAUUUCAGUUCUUCGUUUGAAUCACUUUUGUUUUGAUCAAGGCACUUAUGGUUUGCAAAUUUGGAGAAUACGGUAGAGAAAUGGUCUACUUUUGUUGGCUUUGGUAUAAUUUGAGUCGAGGUGGAGAUCAUUAUGAGUACCGGAAAGUUUGGGGAAUUUGAUUUAGUUCCCGUUGUCUUUAGUUUGUACUUUGGGUGAUUAUGGUGAUUGUUGAUUCGAUUCUCUGUGAUGGUUUCGGAACUUGGCCAAGGUGGAGAUUGUUGAAUUGUGGCCAAGUGGCCAUCAUCGGCUAAUAAACAAACAAAAGAAAAGAAAAAGAAAGACAAAAUGAUGAGGAAACAUCAUGAUGAGGAGGCAUCAUGAUUAUGCUUUCUUCUUUUGUGGUUUUUUAAUAACCAUAAUUAUUGUUUGUUUAUUAGCCGAAAGGUGAUGGCCACUUGGCCACAAUUCAACAAUCUCCACCUUGGCCAAGUUCCGAAACCAUCACAGAGAAUCGAAUCAACAAUCACCAUAAUCACCCAAAGUACAAACUAAAGACAACGGGAACUAAAUCAAAUUCCCCAAACUUUCCGAUACUCAUAAUGAUCUCCACCUUGACUCAAAUUGUACCAAAGCCAACAAAAGUAGACCACUUCUCUACCGUCUUCUCCAAAUUUAAAUCCUAUGAAGAAAGGGAGAGCUCAUUUUUUAGAAGAAAGCAGAUUGAAGAGAGAAGAGGAGAGAGAAGGUAGAACCUUUUGGUUAUAAAAGGCAUUCGAUUAUGCCUUUGGAUGUGGGGAGAGCGGCAGAUGAGAGAGCACAGGGAGAGCAUUCGGCUCUCCCAUUUGAAUAUGAGUUGCUCCUUCCCACCAUUUGUAAUAAUCCAAUUUUGUUAGUAAUCACUCAAUCAAAGAUGUUGGUGCUACUUGUGUAGCUUUUGGGAGAGAAGGAUUUUGAUAUGUGUUUCUUCUUCUCCAUUUGUUUCUUAGUUUGAGUGAGAGCUAUUGGGUGUAUGUGGGAUUUGGGUUUGAGUGUUGAACUCUAUUUGUAAUCUUCUUUUGAUAUUAGUGGAAUUUCCUCGCCGUCUCGGAACUGGAUGUAGGCUUAUGCCGAACCAGUAUAAAAAUCCUUGUGUCUUUUGGAUUAUUUGUCUUGUCAUAUUUUGCCAUUAUUAGCUUUGGUUUCAUAUUUGAAGCUUCAGCAAUACAAACAGUACAAGAUCAAUGAAUUCCUAUGAAUGAAUAAACUAAAGAAAUCGAAGAAAGAGAAUAACGAGAGAGAAAAGCUUUUCAUUUAUAUUGCUCUAACAGAAAAUGAUUACAUGAUAAAAAUCUAAGUCUCCAAAACAAUAAUUAUAUAGAGACUAGAAUGAGCAGAAUCACAAUAUUGCCUUUCUAACUAAUUCUUAUCUUCUAACAACCUCAACACUCACAAGCUUGACACUUGUCAUUUCUUACAACCACUCCUAACAAAUCCUAACUGUUUAUCUGGUUAAUAUAACGGAUGGCCGACGACCGACACCGAGAUUUUCCCAAACCUUGGUCCUUACUCUCGUAUAAAUUCGAAACGAACAGUAAACAAUUUUCUCGCAAUCGGAAGCACGGCAAACAUGGAUCUGAGAGAAAGCAUCAUCAACCAAAACGACGUCGCAAGGAGGCUGACGAAGCAGCUGGUUCAGACCGAAGGCAAGCAGUCGAACCUCGUGUACUCGCCGCUGUCCAUCCACGUGGUGCUGAGCCUGAUCGCAGCCGGGUCAAAGGGUCCCACCCAGGAGCAGCUGCUCUCAUUCCUCAAGUCAGAGUCCACCGACCACCUCAACUCCUUCGCCUCCCAGCUCCUGCCCUUUAUCUUCUCCGAUGGGUCCCCCGUGGGCGGCCCCAAGCUGGCGUUUGCGAAUGGCGUUUGGGUGCAGAAGCCUCUCCCUCUGAAGCCUUCCUUCAAGCAGGUGGUGGAAGCUUCUUACAGGGCCGCUCUCGUCCUAGUUGAUUUUCAGACCAAUGUAAGCUCCCAAACCCUCUGUCAUGUCGUUUCGAUUGUUUUUGUCGAUGCUGCUCAUGAUCAAAGUCUUUGGUUGUAAUUUCAGACCAAUGUUUCAAUGUCGAUGCUGCUGAUGCUCUUUUGUUCGUUACUGUUUUUGGUUGUAAUUGAUCGAGAUAUGCAGGUUGAUAUCAUUGUUUUCUAACUUGUCGUAACUGUUGUUGGUGCUCAAGGCUGCUCAAGUGGAGUCGGAAGUGAAUUCAUGGGCUGAAAAGGAGACGAGCGGCCUUAUCAAGGAUCUACUUCCUCCCGGGUCACUUGACAGCUUCACCAGGCUCAUCUUUACCAAUGCAUUAUACUUCAAGGGAGCUUGGAAUGAGAAAUUUGAUGCAACAGCUACAAAAGAGCAUGACUUCCACCUUCUCGACGGGAGCACAGUUAAGGCGCCCUUCAUGACCAACAAGAACCAGCAGUAUGUAAGUGCCUUUGACGGUUUCUCAGUCUUAGGGCUUCCUUACAAACAAGGUGAAGACAAGCGGCGCUUCUCCAUGCACAUCUUUCUUCCACAGGAGAAAGAUGGGCUGCCAGCUUUGGUUGAGAAACUUGGCUCUGAGUCCGGGUUUUUAGAUCGCUAUCUUCCCAAACAACCAGUUGCAGUGGGCGACUUCAGAAUCCCAAAGUUUAAGAUCUCAUUUGGGUUUGAAGCUUCCAAUGUCCUAAAGAGUCUGGGACUGGUGCUGCCUUUCGUGGGUGGAGGUCUGACAGAGAUGGUGGACUCGCCCGAGGGUAAGAAGCUAUAUGUUUCCAACAUAUUCCACAAGUCGUUCAUCGAAGUGAAUGAAGAAGGCACAGAAGCUGCAGCUGCUUCUGCCGGCGUUAUAAGUGAUAGGAGGAUGCCCAUGACAUUUGUGGCUGAUCGUCCGUUCCUCUUCACGAUCAGGGAAGAAACGACCGGAACAGUUCUGUUCAUCGGUAACCUGCUCAACCCUCUUGCCGGCUGAGUGUUACAAUCCCCUGGGAAAAGGCAUCAUGUGUACGUAGAAUAAUACGAGAGUAUAGUAAAUAAAAUGUAUGAUCCUUGUAUACAUGUGCUAGGUUUGGUUAUUACCUAAUCACCCUGUACUUGCCGCAGUUGGUCUUGUUUCUCCCAUGUGGCGAUUGUUGCUCGUUCUCCCAUGGCGUUUAUCUAUUUGUACAAUCUUGAUUCUGAAUACUUAUUUUAUGUUGUACUCUGUUUGAACAAUUAAAGUUUUAGCCGACUGCAAACGUCGGUUAAGUGUUAAAGUAUUUGGACAGGGAUUGUCUGCUUUUUCAUUUUUCGUGUCCUUCUGUUUUGUGUGUUCACAGUUAAACUACGUCAAUAUUUUAUAUUAUUUUUUUAUAGAAAUAAUAAGAUAAAAAUAAAUAAUAAUAUAAAAUAUUAACGUGACUUAACUGUAACCACACAAACAGGAGGGCACGGAAGACCACCGGAAGUGGAAGAGCGGACAUUCUUGUCCAAAGUAUUUAAUAUAUAGAAUGUACGAGUGCUAGUGCUGUACCAUAUACAUGGUUGGUGAUGAAAAGGAUUAAACUAUGAAUAUUCUAUAAAAUAUUAUUUACCCUAGGACGAGGAUUUUCUUUGGAUCUUCUUUACGAGGAUCUUAGGAAUUAAUUCAUUUUAACGGUUUAUUGUACAUCGUACGGUCAACUUUCGUUAGAUACUUUUUAUGUUUAAUUUUAAAUAAAUUCAAAAUAAUUUUUCACUGCAUGAUGCAUUGAUUCCUAAAGCACUCGCAAAGAGACUCCAGAUGUUUAGUUCUCCAUGACUGGAGAUGGCCUAAGAUGCUAAACACUUAACACUAACCAAUUUUUCCGGUUAGUUAAAUUGUUUAAUAAAUGCUAUCCACACUCUAAAAUAAUUGACCAUAUUUUCUUGACUCUUUUGUUAGAUUGCAUGAAAUAUUGUUCGAGUAAAUAAUCUCUCAAGUAUCACUCAGACUUCAUAAUGAUUUUGAUUUUGAUUACAUAGUAAGCAUGUCAUUAAGGUCAAAUUUUGAACAAACACCCAAUUACAUAGCACGCAUGUUAUUAUGGUGUAUGCUCAUUGUCACUUUCAAAACUUGACACCUGUCUACUAACAUAACCGAUGGCCGACGACCGACACCUUCCCAAACCUUGGUCCUUACCCUCGUAUAAAUUCGAAACGAACAGUAAACAAUUUUCUCGCAAUCGGAAGCACGGCAAACAUGGAUCUGAGAGAAAGCAUCAUCAACCAAAACGACGUCGCAAGGAGGCUGACGAAGCAGCUGGUUCAGACCGAAGGCAAGCAGUUGAACCUCGUGUACUCGCCGCUGUCCAUCCACGUGGUGCUGAGCCUGAUCACAGCCGGGUCAAAGGGUCCCACCCAGGAGCAGCUGCUCUCAUUCCUCAAGUCAAAGUCCACCGAUCACCUCAACUCCUUCGCCUCCCAGCUAGUGUCCGUGAUCUUCUCCGAUGGGUCCCCCGUGGGCGGCCCCAAGCUGGCGUUUGCGAAUGGGCUUUGGGUGCACAAGCCUCUCACGCUGAAGCCUUCCUUCAAGCAGGUGGUGGACGCUUCUUACAAGGCAGCUCUCGCCCUAGUCGAUUUUCAGACUAAUGUAAGCUCCCAAACCCUCUGUCAUGUCGUUUCGAUAGUUUUUUUUUCAAUGCUGCUCAUGAUCAAAGUCCUGAAUUUUUUUUCCCGAUUUGAUUAGAGAUGUAUAAAUAUUUCCUAAAUUGCAGGCCUGCUGAUGCUCUUUUAUUCUUGUAGCAUUUCAACUAAAUAUUUCCUCUCUAAUCAUUACUGUUUGUGCUUGUUCUUGUGCAUAGCCGUUACGAAAUCGUAUCGAAGAUUUUUUUGUUCGUUACUGUUUGUGGUUAUAAUCUAGGUAUUAAAUAUUGAUAAUAUCGGAAAUAUCGGUAGUCCAGAAACACGGAAAUAUUGAUGGAAAUAUCGGGAUAUUAUCGAUAUGUAUAAAAAUAAUAUGGAAACCACGGAAAUUGUAAGAAAAACUUGGAAAUUUUUAUUGAAACUUUGCAGGAUGUUUAUUUAGUCAAUUAUCUAUUAGUUUAUCACAAAAUAUUGGAAGGAAAUGUAUUACAUAAUAGAUUUAACUGAUUUAAGUUGAUUAUAUAGCGAACUAGCGAACUACCAAACAUUAUGAGUUAGAAAAUAUGUAGUAAUUAAUAAAAGAAGUUUAAACACACAGUCACCGACUAUUAAAAAUUGUACAUGUAAAAGCUGUAAAAGUUGAAUUAUUUAGAUGCUUUUUUUUCUUACAUGCCACCCACACACACACACACACAGACUCUCACACGCCAACACACACGCACACACAGAUCACACACACAUCACACACACAGACAGAGACUGAGGUCUCUCUUUCUCGAUCCUUCUCUCUUCUCUCUCGAUCCUUCUCCCUUCUCUUCGACAGAGACUGAGGUCUAUCUCUCUCUCGAUCCUUCUCUCUUCUCUCCCUUCUCCAUUCUCCCACACACACACCCAGAUCUCUCGAUCUCUCUUCUCCCUUCUCCCACACACACGCACAGAGACCUCGCCCCUCCCCCCUCGUCAUCGUCUCCACCGCAAAUCUAGGUCUUUGAACGUAAAUUGCAGGCCUGCUGAUGCUCUUUUAUUCUUGUAGCAUUUCAACUAAAUAUUUCCUCUCUAAUCAUUACUGUUUGUGCUUGUUCUUGUGCAUAGCCGUUACGAAAUCAUAUCGAAGAUUUUUUGUUUGUUACUAUUUGUGGUUAUAAUCUAGGUAUUAAAUAUUGGUAAUAUCGGUAGUCCAGAAACACGGAAAUAUUGAUGGAAAUAUCGGGAUAUUAUCGAUAUGUAUAAAAAUAAUAUGGAAACCACGGAAAUUGUAAGAAAAACUUGAAAAUUUUUAUUGAAACUUUGCAGGAUGUUUAUUUAGUCAAUUAUCUAUUAGUUUAUCACAAAAAAAUUGGAAGGAAAUGCAUUGCAUGAUAGAUUUAACUGAUUUAAGUUGAUUAUAUAGCGAACUAGCGAACUAGCAAACAUUAUGAGUGUAGAAAAUAUGUAGUAAUUAAUGAAAGAAGUUUAAACACACAGUCACCGACUAUUAAAAAUUGUACAUGUAAAAGCUGUAAAAGUUGAAUUAUUUAGAUGUUUUUUUUUCUUACAUGCCAUCCACACACACACACACACACAGACUCUCACACGCCAACACACACCACGCAUACACAGAUCACACACACAGACAGAGACUGAGGUCUCUCUCUCUCGAUCCUUCUCUCUUCUCUCUCGAUCAUUCUCCAUUCUCUCUCGACCUAGACUGACUCUCUCUCUCUCUCUCUCUCUCUCUCUCUCUCUCUCUCUCUCUCUUUCCCACACACACACAGAUCUUUCGAUCUCUCUUCUCCCUUCUCCCACACACACGCACAGAGACAUCGUCCUUCGUCAUCGUCAUCGUCUCCCACACACACGCACAGAGACCUCGCCCCUCGUCAUCGUCUCCACCGCAAAUCUAGGUCUUUGAACGUAAAUUGCAGGCCUGCUGAUGCUCUUUUAUUCUUGUAGCAUUUCAACUAAAUAUUUCCUCUCUAAUCAUUACUGUUUGUGCUUGUUCUUGUGCAUAGCCGUUACGAAAUCGUAUCGAAGAUUUUUUGUUCAUUACUGUUUGUGGUUAUAAUCUAGGUAUUAAAUAUUGGUAAUAUCGGAAAUAUCGGUAGUCCAGAAACAUGGAAAUAUUGAUGGAAAUAUCGGGAUAUUAUCGAUAUGUAGAAAAAUAAUAUGGAAACCACAAAAAUUGUAAGAAAAACUUGAAAAUUGUUAUUGAAACUUUGCAGGAUGUUUAUUUAGUCAAUUAUAUAUUAGUUUAUCACAAAAAAUUGGAAGGAAAUGCAUUGCAUGAUAGAUUUAACUGAUUUAAGUUGAUUAUAUAGCGAGCUAGCAAACAUUAUGAGUAGAAAAUAUGUAGUAAUUAAUGAAAGAAGUUUAAACACACAGUCACAGACUAUUAAAAAUUGUACAUGUAAAAGCUGUAAAAGUUGAAUUAUUUAGAUACUUUUUUUUCUUACACGCCACCCACCCACACACACACACACACUCUCACACGCCAACACACACGCACACACAUACACACAUCACACACAGACAGAGACUGAGGUCUCUCUUUCUCGAUCCUUCUCUCUUCUCUCUCGAUCAUUCUCCCUUCUCUCCGACAGAGACUGAGGUCUCUCUCUCUCUCUCGAUCCUUCGCUCUUCUCUCCCUUCUCCAUUCUCCCACACACACACACAGAGAUCUCUCGAUCUCUCUUCUCCCUUCUCCCACACACACGCACAGAGACAUCGUCCCUUGUCAUCGUCAUCGUCUCCCACACACACAUACACAGACCUCGCCCCUCGCCCCUCGUCAUCGUCUCCAUCGCAGAUCUAGGUCUUUGAAUGUCAAAGUUUCGAGCGCACCUCAAAUCCAGGCAAUCUGAUUCUGACGCUGUAGUCGUCGCCGCCACCACCAACUUCCUAAGCCAAGAAUGGAGAACCUGAUCUCGUUGGUGAACAAAAUCCAGAGGGCUUGUACUACUCUAGGGGACUAUGGCGAAGGUAGUGCAUUCGUCGUCGCCGUCGUCGCCAUCGCCGUCAGUGGUCAGAUCAACUCCCGGUCCCUCACCUUCUUACCUCUUCGAUUGAUUCAUGCAUAUGAAUUGUGGUUGUGUUUUCAAUCGCUCUGUAGCUUAGAUCUUGAUCUUAAUCAUGUUUUUGCAAGGUUUUUGGGAUGAAAUCGGCUCGGGAAUCGGCACACCCAUUUCCGGCGUUCUUCUCCGAGUAGCCAGUUCCAAAAAUAUCGUGAUAAUUUCGGAAAUAUUACGAUAUUAUCGAUAGUAUAGCUAUAUUUUGACGAAAACCCUUUGGAUACCUAUUAAAAUAUCGGUCCGGCGAAAAACCGAUAAUAUCGACGAUAUAUUGGCGAUUUUGUUCCUUGGUUAUAAUUGAUCGAGAUAUGCAGGCUGAUAUCAUUGUUUUCUAACUUGUCGUAACUGUUGUUGGUGCUCAAGGCUGCUCAAGUGGCGUCGGGAGUGAAUUCAUGGGCUGAAAAGGAGACGAGCGGCCUUAUCAAGGAUCUACUUCCUCCCAGGUCACUUGACAGCUCAACCAGGCUCAUCUUUACGAAUGCAUUGUACUUCAAAGGAGCUUGGACUGAGAAAUUUGAUGCAUCAGCUACAAAAGAGCAUGACUUCCACCUUCUCGACGGGAGCACAGUUAAGGCGCCCUUCAUGACCAGCAAGAGGAAGCAGUAUGUAAGUGCCUUUGACGGUUUCUCAGUCUUAGGGCUUCCUUACAAACAAGUUGAAGACAAGCGGCGCUUCUCCGUGCACAUCUUUCUUCCAGAGGAGAAAGAUGGGCUGCCAGCUUUGGUUGAGAAACUUGGCUCUGAGUCCGGGUUUUUGGAUCGAUAUCUUCCCAAACAACCAGUUGCAGUGGGCGACUUCAGAAUCCCAAAGUUUAAGAUCUCAUUUGGGUUUGAAGCUUCCAAUGUCCUAAAGAGUCUGGGACUGGUGCUGCCUUUCGAGGGUGAAGGAGGUCUGACAGAGAUGGUGGACUCGCCCGAGGGUAAGAAGCUAUAUGUUUCCAGCAUAUUUCACAAGUCGUUCAUCGAAGUGAAUGAAGAAGGCACAGAAGCUGCAGCUGCUUCUGCCGGCGUUAUAAGUCAGAGGAGUAUGCCCAUGACAUUUGUGGCUGAUCAUCCAUUCCUCUUCACGAUCAGGGAAGAAACCACAGGAACAGUUCUGUUCAUCGGUAACCUGCUCAACCCUCUUGCCGGCUGAGUGUUACAAUCCCCUGGGAAAAGGCAUCAUGUGUACGUAGAAUAAUACGAGACUAUAGUAAAUAAAAUGUAUGAUCCUUGUAUACAUGUGCUAGGUUUGGUUAUUACCUAAUCACCCUGUACUUGCCGCAGUUGGUCUUGUUUCUCCCAUGUGGCGAUUGUUGUUCGUUCUCCCAUAUGGCGUUUAUCUAUUUGUAGAAUCUUGAUUCUAAAUACUUAUUUUAUGUUGUACUCUGUUUGAACAAUU
This 18246-nucleotide long non-coding RNA is filed under the name Malus domestica (apple). RNAcentral's name for it is "long non-coding RNA (MDOM_LNC007255)". Lineage: Eukaryota; Viridiplantae; Streptophyta; Magnoliopsida; Rosales; Rosaceae. The record is from RNAcentral.